This is a long non-coding RNA of Chiroxiphia lanceolata (lance-tailed manakin), 3120 nucleotides long. RefSeq lists it as uncharacterized. Lineage: Eukaryota; Metazoa; Chordata; Aves; Passeriformes; Pipridae. The transcript has 3 exons. The record is from RefSeq and is a predicted model, not a curated record.
GUUCCGCCGGGGCGGGACGGGGCCGGGAGCGCGGCCGGCAUUUCGUGGUUCUCACACGAGGACCGCGAUGGCGGCCUGAGGGCCCGGCCCUGGAGAGCCGCGGGCGGCCGAGAGAGGCCGCGGCGAGGGCAGGGGCUGGUCUGUGCCCUGUUGGGAGCCCUCAGCCAUAGCCAGGGCCAGGGCCAGGGCCCCGCUUGGGAACCCUCAGCCCCCUCAGCCAUGGCCGGGGCGAGGGCAGGUCCCACUGGGAGUCCUGAGUCCCCUCAGCCAUGGCUGGGGCGAGGGCAGGUCCCACUGGGAGUCCUGAGUCCCCUUAGCCAUGGCUGGGGCGAGGGCAGGUCCCACUGGGAGCCCUGAGUCCCCUCAGAGCCGUGCCCAGCCCGUGCGGGUGGUUGCCCAUAGAAGUGGCCGCUCUGGGUGAUGGAUAAACCCCGCUUGGAUCAUUUUUUCCAUUCUGUUCGCCAAGUCUGAACCAGAGCUGGUGGGCAGGGGUGUUCCCACCUCUAGGGUGCCCGUCACACCAGCUGGGUGUUUUGCUGCUCGAACACAGGCAUCUCCUCCUGCUGCCACCACAGCCCCAGAGCCGCCGAUUUCAUGGCACUUUGGGGAGGACACGACCUUGGCUCAGCAUCUCUCCAGUGUCAACCCACCCUGGGGAUCGAAGGCUGCGUUUCAAAUGAUGCCGAACCACAAAUGUGGAGCUGCUGCUGCUUCAGCCAGUCCUGCUGCCCAGGGGAGGGAGAGGCACCAAGUGCUCAUGUCUUCAGCAAGACUUCUGUGGAGUCUUCAAGGAAAUAAAACAGGCUGGAGCAAACCCUGUGCCCUUGGAGAAAAUUGUUUCCCCUUUUCCUCCAGGGAAAAUCCAGAGCCCGAGCAGCAGCUGUGAAAGGGGUGGAGAGAUAAAGAAAGAAGCUGGGGAGAUGCUGGAAGCGCUUUGGGCGACGCGCAAAGAAGGAUUUUUGCACGGAAAGGAGCUGUUUCAAGGGCCCAGCAGCAAAACCAGAGACACACACACAAAAAAAAAAUGCUUAUAUAUAGAAGAAUGUAAACCCUCCUGUAAGCAGAGUUGCCCGUGCAUGCCUCGUGAGAACGUAAGCGACAGUCCCUGUAGUGCCGGCGGUGCGAUCCCGGGCUGGGGGGGAUCUCCUCCCGGGGAUCUCCCGCUGGAACACCGCCCCGCCCCUGCUCGUGCCAGCGGCAGGAGGAGCUGUGACCUGUCCGUGCCGAGCUAUCGACCCCUUGGAAUGCCGAGCUGGAGGCGGGCAGCGCUCCCGCAGCGGGCGGUGUGUGUAAAUAUUGACGCUCCGGCACCAGAAGAUCUGCUCUCCCCCUGGGUGAUGUUUGUACUGGCAAGGGAAGCAUGCUGUGAACUCCCUGCGAAUUCCCUGUGAAUUCCCCGUGAAUUCCCUGCCCUGCCACAGCCGGGCAGCGUCUGUACCCUCCUCGUGGGCAGGAAACCAGCACAGUUCCUCUCUCCCCCCGUUUGUUUUCUCCCAGCCCCGGGUUUCGAUCAGCUGGGAAGACCAGGGAGCGCUUUCCAAAGGGAAAACAAAAGGCUCCGGCUCGGGUUUCAGCGGGAGCGGAGCGGGCUGAGAUCAUUGUCUGCGCUCCCGCCGCCCGCGCGGCUGCGGGGAAAGCCUGGAUGAAUUUUUAAAGCAGCUCUCGGCCAAGGCAGCUCCCAGCACAGGCUGGAAUUCUGUAUUCCAAGGGGAAAAAGCAGCCCAGCGUGGGCUGCUGGUCACCUCCUGUCGUGCUGCUCAGCUUUGGCCGGGUCAGUCCCGGGCUGCCCCGCUGACACCCAGCCCGGGGUUUAGCACAUCCAUUCCACAGCCCGCCCUCUUCUCCCAGAAUUAUUUUCAGUGGUAAAAACAUCAGGAAUGGGACCAGGCCUCCCGUCAGACACCUCUGUGUGCCCAGGAGAGGCGUCACCGACACAAACACGCAGCAAAUCACCCGAAAUCGGGGAGCUGUGAGUGAUGGGGGAGGACAAACCCAUCCCACUGCUGCUGCAGAGCACGGGCAGGGAUCGCCCUCGUCCAGCCCAGCCCGACGCUAAAGAAUUCCCUGCAGUCACCAACACUUCUUGAAUCAAUUCCAUCUGAGUUGAGAGUUUGUUCUGUCCCUGUGUCACACUAAAAUCAUGUUUCUGUAUCACAGUAAAAUUACAGGGGUCUUAAACCCUCAGCAGAGGCUGUUCCUGCUGCUCAACCCCAGUGCAGACAGAAUUGCACAGAGAACUUCUGCAGUCUCUGUGUCCACAGAGCCUGGAAUGAGGCAAUUCCCUGCUGGAAAACUGCACUGCCACGUGCAAAGUGGCCCACAAUGAGGACACAAAGGUACAUCCAGCUUCAUAUUGAAUUUUCCUAGGAAUGGUUUUAAAACAUCUGUCUGGGAUCUCGAUGGGAGCCCAACAUGUGAAUAACAAACUACCUGUGGCUCCACAUGAAAUCCUGGACACUCAUUUUCUGCCCAGGUCCAAACCUUUGGCUGUUUCCCACCCCCCAGCAGGUGAACAGCAUCUGCACAACAUUCCUUGGAGCCACUUGGCUCCCAGCAAAUGGGAUUUGCAGUCCAGGCCUCAGACUCAGCCCCGUUCCCGUGUCCCCCUGGGCUGGGGGUGAGCUGGACUUGCCCAUCCCACCCCUGGAGGGGACACUGGCCAUGCCAGCUCAAAACCCAGGAGAUGGGGCAGUGUGAAUGCCAUGGGAACUGGGCUUCCUGAGGAAGUGGAGGGGAGGGAUCCUCAUGUGCUGCUCCUGCCUUGGGCUUCUCGCCCUCUCCCAGCUGGAAUGUGCGACCCCUCACAUUCCAAAGGCCACCUUUGUUCCCAGACAGAGCCCUGUUCCCAGCACAGGACAAUCCCAGUGGCUUGGAUCACACUCCACCUGCAGCACAAGGAUCUCUCACAUCCCAGCACUUCCAAGCACAGCUCUGCCCUCCCCAGGAGUGGGAAAAGCUGCUGUUCCAGGAUGGCCAGCGCCCACCUCCAGGAAAAAAAUUAAACUACAAACCACAACAAAACAAGUGGAUCUUUUUUUUCCCUGACAAUAUUUAUUUGAACACAGGAGGGGAUUCUGAUGUGACUGAUCCAACCUCACUGGGCAGGAAAACCUGAGGGCU